RNAcentral lists this transfer RNA (73 nucleotides) under Staphylococcus warneri. RNAcentral's name for it is "tRNA-Asp". It matches the Rfam family "tRNA". From Rfam's summary of the family: Transfer RNA (tRNA) molecules are approximately 80 nucleotides in length. Their secondary structure includes four short double-helical elements and three loops (D, anti-codon, and T loops). The record is from RNAcentral. Lineage: Bacteria; Bacillati; Bacillota; Bacilli; Caryophanales; Staphylococcaceae.
GAUCCAUUAGUCGAGGGGUUAAGACGCUUGCCUGUCACGCAAGAGAUCACCGGUUCAAAUCCGGUAUGGAUCG